This is a long non-coding RNA of Bubalus bubalis (water buffalo), 1024 nucleotides long. RefSeq lists it as uncharacterized. The record is from RefSeq and is a predicted model, not a curated record. The transcript is spliced from 4 exons. NCBI's taxonomy places the organism in Eukaryota, Metazoa, Chordata, Mammalia, Artiodactyla, Bovidae.
CCGCCUGCGCAGGCGCAAUUGCCCGCAAACCCGGAAGCGGAGGGAGGGGCGCUAGCCCUUGGAUUUUCUGUCACGACUGGGUAUUUUAGACGCCCCUCAAGCCCCCGAUCCGCCACAUCCAAGGUUCAGGGGUCGUCAUGUACGUUAAGAUCCCCUUCAUCCAUUCGUCUGCCCUCGGACUAUCUUCUCAAGACCAGUCUUUGCCUGAGGAAGAAACCUAGAAGAGGAGGAAGAAGAAAGAACAGGAGUCAGGCAUGGCUCUUUCUCAGGCACAGUUGACCUUCAAGGAUUUGGCUAUCGAAUUCUCUCAGGAGGAGUGGGAAUGCCUGGACCUUGCUCAGAGGGCCUUGUACAGGGACGUGAUGGUGGAGAUCUGUGGGUGAGGAUCACUUCCCUCAAGGAGUCGGGAUCUGCCCCAAUACCUCCAUUAGGUUCAUGACCAAGGAAUUAUUACAGAAGAAGUAUAUUAAUAACAGAGAAUUAUACCAACCAGUGGUCUUGGGAAGAUUCAGAAACCAUGGUAUUGAAGAAUCUGACUUCAGUGAAGUCUGGAGAAAUACCUUUGAAUUUGAGAAUAAGUGUGGAUAUGCAGGAAGAAAUUCCAAAGGAACACUUAUGGCAAAUAACAUAAAUCUCACUGGUAGAAAAGGUGAACAAGACAGCAAAGCCAGGAUUAAUUUACCUUUAAAACCAAGUGUUUCUUUAUCACAUGAAAAGAUGCUCAGUUUCUUUAAGAAAAAGUACAUGUCAGUUUUUAAAAAAUAGGAAGUCAUUUGUAAAGAAUUUGUUAAAAAUAAAAAAUGGCACAGUUUAUGCAGGAAACAAGUACACAAAAUGUUUUGAAAAUAGAAUUGGAUUAAGUUUUCAGUCACAUCUGACGGAAUGGCAGAGAUUUCAAACUGAAGGGAAAAUUUAUGAGUGUAAUUAAGUUGAAACGUCUAUCAAAACUUGUUCCUCAAUUUUGUCACUUCAAAGAUUUCCUCCUAGUGUCAAAACCAACAUUUCUAAUAAAUAUGGAAAGGUC